AACUACAAACAAUGGAGGCUCUCUUGUAACUUCGAUGUAGAAAGGCUAUCAGCACACCGUUACCUUCUGGCGUAAAACUUCGCGGCAACUUAGGUGAGAUCAAUUACAUGAACAUUUUUUUUUG
This 124-nucleotide non-coding RNA is filed under the name Heterosigma akashiwo. Lineage: Eukaryota; Raphidophyceae; Chattonellales; Chattonellaceae. The record is from RNAcentral.